RNAcentral lists this transfer RNA (64 nucleotides) under Labidostomis urticarum. RNAcentral describes it as "tRNA-Pro". Lineage: Eukaryota; Metazoa; Arthropoda; Insecta; Coleoptera; Chrysomelidae. The record is from RNAcentral.
CAGGGGAUAGUUUAUUUAAAAUAUUAAUUUUGGAGAUUAACGAUAAGAGUUAUCUUUCCCUUGA